UACGGAGGGGGCUAGCGUUAUUCGGAAUUACUGGGCGUAAAGCGUGCGCAGGCGGUUGUGCAAGACAGAUGUGAAAUCCCCGGGCUCAACCUGGGAACUGCAUUUGUGACUGCACAGCUUGAGUGCGGCAGAGGGGGAUGGAAUUCCGCGUGUAGCAGUGAAAUGCGUAGAUAUGCGGAGGAACACCGAUGGCGAAGGCAAUCCCCUGGGCCUGCACUGACGCUCAUGCACGAAAGCGUGGGGAGCAAACAGG
RNAcentral lists this ribosomal RNA (253 nucleotides) under uncultured bacterium. RNAcentral describes it as "partial 16S ribosomal RNA". It matches the Rfam family "Bacterial small subunit ribosomal RNA", at positions 524 to 776 of the family's 1533-position model. The record is from RNAcentral.